GCUGGGCGUGGUGGCUCACGCUUGUAAUCCCAGCACUUUGGGAGGCCGAGGCAGGUGGAUCAUCUGAGGUCAGGAGUUUAAGACCAGCCUGACCAACAAGGUGAAACCCUGUCUCUA
RNAcentral lists this non-coding RNA (117 nucleotides) under Nomascus leucogenys (northern white-cheeked gibbon). Lineage: Eukaryota; Metazoa; Chordata; Mammalia; Primates; Hylobatidae. The record is from Rfam by way of RNAcentral.